GGAUUGUGGCUCAGCGGUAGAGUGCUCGCCUAGCAUGUGCAUGUGAGGCCCUGGGUUCGAUCCUCAGCUCCA
This 72-nucleotide transfer RNA is filed under the name Marmota monax (woodchuck). RNAcentral describes it as "tRNA.Ala". The record is from RNAcentral. Lineage: Eukaryota; Metazoa; Chordata; Mammalia; Rodentia; Sciuridae.